Salvelinus fontinalis (brook trout) is the source of this 1069-nucleotide long non-coding RNA. RefSeq lists it as uncharacterized. NCBI's taxonomy places the organism in Eukaryota, Metazoa, Chordata, Actinopteri, Salmoniformes, Salmonidae. The record is from RefSeq and is a predicted model, not a curated record. The transcript is spliced from 4 exons.
UUUAGUGCAUUUUUCACCCUGCCAGCUCCUAUUAGUUCUAUUGAGCACCGUGGCACCAACUCGACUUCCGAACGUUCUAUUCCCAGCUUAUUGUUCAAUGCCUGCUUCGCUACUGUUGGCGAUGAGACCUGCUCACGUUGUUUUAUAGUUAAAAUGUAAACAACAAAAUGUAAACAUCAAAAAUAAUAUUGGAACUCUGCGGUCUUCCCAUUGUUUCCUAUGGGGGAAAUAUUGGCAUGUCUGUCUGUUUCGCCAAAUAUCUCGCAAUGUAUAUAUUUAGAUUAUUUUCAAAUUGGGUGUAACCGGUGUAAAAUGGCUAGCUAGUUAGCGGGGUGCGCACUAAUAGCGCUUCAAUCGGCGACGUCACUUGCUCUGAGACCUUGAAUAGUUGUCCCCCUUGCCCUGCAAAGACCGUGGCUUUUGUGGAGCGAUGGGUAACAAUGCUUCGAGGGUGGCUGUUGUCUAUGUGUGCAGAGGGUCCAUGGUUCGAACCCAGGUAUGGGCGAGGAGAGGGACGGAAGCAAAACUGUUUCACGGGCACCAUUUUAAAAUCAGGAGAAUCUUCUCUUUGUAAUUAUAGAGCAAGCUGAUCAAGAGGAACAGGCCGUGAAAGCUUAAUUUCUGGCAAAAGUGUCCAUAACCAGAGGUUAUAUCAGCUGUUUUGGUGAACCCCUCCCGCAUCUGAACUGGCUGACACAGGGGGCACAGCAUGAUCAUAGGUAUGUUUUGACGUGAGAGAGGAAGCCGGUCCCGUCAUUGCCACCUCUCCCGCUCUUAAGAUAACCUUCGGGCCAACUGGGGGCCCGAGGCUGGUUAGGAGACACCGCAAUUGUGAUGAACUGAAAGAAUAUUAGGGUAGCACUGUAAUUGUUGAAUCAUAUGCUGUCUGCCGUUGUUCUUACCUCUUUCCUUUUCUGUCUUCUACACCUCUCUCCCCACCUCGUCUUUCUUCCGCGUUUUAUAAUGCACACCAUAUGUGCAUUGAAGUACAGAUUGCUUUAUGUAUUUAUAAUAUUACAAUUAUCAUAAUUAUAAUGCAUUUAUAACACCUGAAAAAUAAACUUCUUUC